GGGCAUGAUAGACCCUAUAGGGCGAUGAAUUAGCCGCCGCGAAUCGCCCUUAGAGUUUGAUCCUGGCUCAGAUUGAACGCUGGCGGCAGGCCUAAUACAUGCAAGUCGAACGGUAACAUAAGAAAGCUUGCUUUCUUGAUGACGAGUGGAGGACGGGUGAGUAAUAUUUGGGAAGCUACCUGAUAGAGGGGGACAACAGUUGGAAACGACUGCUAAUACCGCAUACAGCCUGAGGGUGAAAGCAGCAAUGCGCUAUCAGAUGCGCCCAAACGGGAUUAGCUAGUAGGUGAGGUAAAGGCUCACCUAGGCGACGAUCUCUAGCUGGUCUGAGAGGAUGAUCAGCCACAUUGGGACUGAGACACGGCCCAGACUCCUACGGGAGGCAGCAGUAGGGAAUAUUGCACAAUGGAGGAAACUCUGAUGCAGCCAUGCCGCGUGUGUGAAGAAGGCCUUCGGGUUGUAAAGCACUUUCGGAGGGGAGGAACAAAUGACGUUACCCUCAGAAGAAGCACCGGCUAACUCCGUGCCAGCAGCCGCGGUAAUACGGAGGGUGCAAGCGUUAAUCGGAAUAACUGGGCGUAAAGGGCAUGCAGGCGGUUUAUCAAGUAGGAUGUGAAAGCCCCGGGCUCAACCUGNGAAUUGCAUUCUAAACUGAUAGACUAGAGUAUUGCAGGGGGAGACGGAGUUCCAGGUGUAGCGGUGGAAUGCGUAGAUAUCUGGAAGAACACCAAAGGCGAAGGCAGUCUCCUGGGCAAAUACUGACGCUCAUAUGCGAAAGCGUGGGUAGCAAACAGGAUUAGAUACCUCGUAGUACACUCAGUAUAUGAUGUCUAGUAGGAGCUUGGGGUUAAGUCUGGGUUCCGCAGCAUACGCAAUAAAUUGACCGCUUGGGGAGUACGACCGCAAGGUUAUAAGUCAAAUGAAUUGACGGGGGCCAGCACAAGCGGUGGAGCAUGUGAUUUAAUUGGAGGCUACUCGAAGAACCAUACCAGACUUGACAUCGCGAGAACGUGUUUGAAGGGAGAGGGUCCUUUCGGGAACUCGCAGACAGGUGGUACAUGACUGUCGUCAGUUGGCGUAGUGAGAUGAUGGGUUCAGUCCCUAGAAGAGUGCAACCCUUGUCAGUUGUUACCAGCGUGAUAAAUCCUGGGAAGUCCAAAGGAGAGAUGCCAGCGACGAGUAGGAGGAAGGCAGGGAAGAAGUCAAGUCAUCAUGGCCGUAUCGGUCAGGGCUACACACGUGUUACAAUGGGGCGUAACAGAGGGAAAAGAUAUCCGUGAGGUGGAGUGGAACCCACUAUGCAGUCCCCAACCUAGGAAUGGAUUAUGCAACUUGAAUUCAUGAAGUAGGAAUCGAAUAGUUAUUACAAAUCAGUAUGAUUCGGAGAAUAUGGUCCUCGGGACCUUGUACACAGAUCGCCACGUNCAAGGGUCAGAACUUUAUAUGAAACAAUGCAGGAGCGAGUCCAAUUUAGUGAGGCUAAUUNUGGUUGUAGUCUGCCC
Molecule: ribosomal RNA, 1502 nt
Filed under: uncultured bacterium
Lineage: Bacteria
Description: partial 16S ribosomal RNA
Rfam family: Bacterial small subunit ribosomal RNA
Source: RNAcentral